UAAAGCUGAUGAGAAGAAUAGUACAAAUGUUGUAUGCAAGUUUUGUAACAAGAUUACAAAGGGGGUAAUUUAUCGCUUUAAAUUCCUUCUUAUUGGUGGCGAUAGAAAUGUCACAAGUUGUCCGAAAUGUCCACCGGAGGUGAGGGAUGAAAUAAAGAAUUUUGUUGAGAAGAAGAAGGAGCAAAAAAAAUCAAAUGAGUCAUCAACCAUUUGUGACCAAUCUGAUGAUGAUGAUAUUGAAGAAGGUGAAGGUUUGUCACUUCCAACAAAACGGGGAAGAGAUGCUAUCUCUUCAAGCCAUGGAUCGACGGGUACGAGUAGGACUAAAGUCCUAUAUAUUGCUAUUUCCCAAAGAAGCCAGAAGCAAAGAGCGGUGGAAAAGAUGUGCAAAAAAUUGCUAAGGACAUUUUGAGGGAUCGUGCAGUUAAAGCUUUUGCACGAUGGGUCUAUGAUGCUGGGCUCCCCUUCAAUUGUGUCAACUAUACUGACACUUUUGGAGACUUUAUUGAGGCCGUUGGUCAAUAUGGCCCUGGAAUGAAGCCUCCCACUUAUCAUGAAAUCAGAGGUCCUUAUCUAAAUAAGGAAGUGGAGAAGACCAAUAAAAUUGUGGAGGAACAUAAAGUUGUGUGGAACAAGUAUGGAUGCUCCAUUAUGAUGGAUAAGUGGACAACAAGAACUGGAAAAAUGAUUAGGGAAAUUUGUUUCUUGAGUCGAUUGAUGCUAGCGACUCGUCCACUGACCACAUCAAAAUGUUCACCUUGUUUCAGAACACCAUUGAAAAGAUUGGCCCAAGCAAAGUUGUUCAAGUGGUUACCGAUAAUGCGAGUGAAAAUGUGAAAGCGAGUGGCAUAGUGCAAGGAGCAUACUCGAAUGUCUAUUGGACUACAUGUGCGGCUCAUUGUAUCAACUUAAUAUUCGGGGACAUUUUCAAGGAAAAACCCUUCUCUACAGUUUUUGGCCAGGGCACUAGGGUACAUUCUUAUAUUGCUUAACGACCCUUGUUAUUGAAUAUGAUGAGAAGAUUCACCAGACAAAAAAAUUUGGUGAAACCGGGAAAGACAUGGUUCGCCACUGCUUUCUUGACUUUGCAUAGUAUCCACUUGCAAAAAGCCAAUUUGAGAAAGUCGUUCAUUUCAGAGGAAUGGAACAAGAGUAAAUUUGCAAAGGAAACUAGGGGGAAAGAUGUUGCACGCAUUAUUCUUUCUUAUUCUUUUUGGAAUAAUGUCCUCCAUGCUCUUAAAAUUGGUGGCCCUUUGGUUAAAGUACUCCGUUUGGUGGAUGGGGAUUAAAAACCACCAAUGGGCUACCUCUAUGAAGCUAUGGAUAGGGCCAAUGAGGCUAUUCAAGCAUCAUUCACUCAUGAGCAGAAAUAUGCAAAGGUCUUUCAGAUCAUUGAUGCAAGAUGAACGGAGCAACUUCAUCGACCUUUGCAUGCAGCUGGACUUAUUCUGAACCCGUCAGUCUUUUAUGAUCAGUAUGAGAAUAAUUCAUUGGCUAGAGAAGUGUGGACGGGAUUCCAUGGGUGUGUUAUUAAGUUGACCCCAGAUGAAGACUUGCAAGAAAAGAUAGUAGAUCAGUUUGCUAUUUACAAGGCAGGUGAAGGACUUUUCAAGCUGCGACUGGCUAUUAAACAAAGAAAGACGAAGUCGCCAGGUGAUCGAGUGCUUCUAUAUUUUAUAGCUCUAACUUUUAAUGUAUUUUUUAUACUUAUUAACUCUUGAAUAUAUUUUUUUUCACUUCUAUAGUUGAGUGGUGGGACCAAUAUGGUACAGAGACUCCGGAUUUACAGACUUUCGCGAUCAAAGUUCUAAGUUUAACUUGUAGUUCUUCCAGAUGUGAAAGGAACUGGAGCGUUUUUGAACACAUUCAUACAAAGAAGAGGAAUCGACUAACCUUGAAGUGCCUCCAUAAUCUAGUGUUCAUAAAAUACAAUAGAGCAUUGAGACGUCGCUACAACCACCGCAAUCUAAUUGAUCCAAUUCUUUUGGACAAUAUUGACGAGGCUAAUGAGUGGCUAACCGGAGUCCCCGAAAAUUGUGAAGAUGAAGAAGUAAUUGAAGGCGACUCUAAUUUCACUUGGGGUGAUGUUGCGGAUGCUAGUGGAGUUGGGGAGAACCCUUAUGGUUUAAGGGGGAAUACUUCAAGUUCAAGCUCGAUUAGGAAGGGAAAAAGUGUGGCUA
Molecule: non-coding RNA, 2180 nt
Organism: Nicotiana tabacum (common tobacco)
Lineage: Eukaryota; Viridiplantae; Streptophyta; Magnoliopsida; Solanales; Solanaceae
Source: RefSeq, a predicted model, not a curated record